CGCGUAGGUGGUUCGAUCAGUCGGAGGUGAAAGCCCUCGGCUCAACCGAGGAUCCGCGUCCGAUACUGUCGAACUUGAGUGCAGGAGAGGAGAGCGGAAUUCCCAGUGUAGCGGUGAAAUGCGUAGAUAUUGGGAGGAACACCGGUGGCGAAGGCGGCUCUCUGGACUGCCACUGACACUGAGGCGCGAAAGCUAGGGGAGCAAACGGGAUUAGAUACCCCGGUAGUCCUAGCCGUAAACGAUGGGCACUAGGUGUGGGAGGUAUCGACCCCUUCGUGCCGCAGCUAACGCACUAAGUGCCCCGCCUGGGGAGUACGGCCGCAAGGUUGAA
Molecule: ribosomal RNA, 331 nt
Filed under: uncultured bacterium
Lineage: Bacteria
Description: bacterial SSU rRNA
Rfam family: Bacterial small subunit ribosomal RNA
Source: RNAcentral